Molecule: ribosomal RNA, 465 nt
Filed under: uncultured bacterium
Lineage: Bacteria
Description: partial 16S ribosomal RNA
Rfam family: Bacterial small subunit ribosomal RNA
Source: RNAcentral
GACGAACGCUGGCGGCGUGCUUAACACAUGCAAGUCGAACGGAAAGGCCCCUUUGGGGGUACUCGAGUGGCGAACGGGUGAGUAACACGUGAGUAACCUUCCCUUGACUUCGGGAUAACUUCAGGAAACUGGGGCUAAUACCGGAUAGGAAUCCUUGCUGCAUGGUGGGGGUUGGAAAGCUUCGGCGGCUUUGGAUGGACUCGCGGCUUAUCAGCUUGUUGGUGGGGUAGUGGCUUACCAAGGCUUCGACGAGUAGACGGCCUGAGAGGGCGACCGGCCACACUGGGACUGAGAUACGGCACAGACGCCUACGGGAGGCAGAAGUGGGGAAGAUUGCACAAUGGGCGGAAGCAUGAUGCAGCAACGCCGCGUGCGGGAAGACGGCCUUCGGGUUGUAAACCGCUUUCAGGAGGGGCGAAGCUUGUGGUGACGGUACCUGCAGAAGAAGCACCGGCUAACUACGUG